Molecule: long non-coding RNA, 3796 nt
Organism: Gopherus evgoodei (Goodes thornscrub tortoise)
Lineage: Eukaryota; Metazoa; Chordata; Testudines; Testudinidae
Exons: 2
Source: RefSeq, a predicted model, not a curated record
CACGUGAAACCUUAAAUUAGAGUGAAUAAAUGAAGACUUAGCACAGCACUUCUGAAAGGUUGCCGACCCCUACCCUAGAGGGUUCAGAUUAACCUCUUUUCCCCACGCUUCAUGGUAAGAGCUUGUCUGAGACAUGUAUUUGGGAAAUCAGUGGUUAUUCCCAAAUGCUUUAUUGUUUCUGCUCCAAUCAAAUGUUCGCUCCCUUCAAUGGCACACUUUUCCUGAACUGCAUGUACACAAAACUAGGGUAUCUUUCUGUUUAUCCCGAUAGUCCCUGCAUUUGUACUGACUGUAACUGGUAUGCAUUACACAUCUUCUACUAUGGGAAUCCCUGCCCCCGUAGCUAAUAAAAAAUUGACAAGCCCGUCCCCGACUCCAAAGCUUAUAUGGGGCCAUCCCCAAAUAACUACAGUCAUGGGUUGUUGGAAAACGCACUCCGAGUCUGGGGAGGGCUGUCCUAUGGCAUUUGUUUGUUGGUGAUGGGAUCAUUUAAUACCACCGUCUGAGGCUCUGUUUUCUUAUCUUUAUUUCCACUGUCCCUGCUAAUCCUACAUGCUUGCAGCUGUGCCUGUAAAUUAUCAAUCUAGCUUUUCAGAGCUCUACUCUCCUGUAUCAACUGCCCCACUGGCAUCCAUUCACCAUUUCUUCCUACUCCUCUGCCUCUACUCAUUCCCCAACCUCUAACCCCAGCCUUGGGGAGAGGAUCCAUUUUUUCCACUGCUUUAGUUGUGUUUGCAGCUCAUUUACUAGAGUUCCCCCUUACUGCUUCCCAGCUGCUUCUAUUUUCCCCACACAGAGGCAUGUCUGCCUUCAUGCUCAUACCUUGCUUUCAUCCAUUCCACCACACCUGAGAGCAAUGCCUGUAACACAGCAUCUUUUAAAGUUUCUUGUUCUAAUUUCCCUUCCCUCAAUGUAUAUUUGAAUUCUCUCAGCUAAUUGUGUGGGAGCCUUCCCAGGCCGCCUUGCAAUUUUUGCAGCCAUGCUGGAAGAUAAUGUAAAGUGCUGUUGUCACCCAUCUAAUCAUCUGAGUAACAUUAUCGUCAAAUCUAACAGCGCAGGUGCUUAUGGAUCCAAUAAUGUCCAAAGUAAUGGCUUCUCUGCUAUAGAAAUACCUACUGCUUGCAAAAUUGUGAACAUUUAUGUAGCCACACCAAAAACUCACUAAAAUUUCCUGGUGGGUGGGGGGAACCUACAGCUCCCACCAGAGCAGUUAGCUCACUAAUUUGUAAUGUAUCAAUUCUAGGUGUUAACGCACUGACUCUAGAUUUGUUAGUUUGGGGCUUUAUACUCUCCUUCUCCCAUGAUUAAGGCUAAGAUUUUGUACCAGAUAUUUUUAGUAAACAUCCCGGACAGAUCACGGCUUCCGUGAAUUUUUCUUUUUUGCCCAUGACCUGUCCAUUACAUUUACUAAAAAUAUCCAGGACAAAAUGGGAUCUGAGAGUCCCCACACCACCUGAAAUGGGGCAGCUGCACAGGGUUAGGAACUGCAAGGUAUCCCUGCCACCUGAAGCUUUGCAAGUCCCUCUGCUGCCCCUGGGGGCCAGGAGCUAUCAGAUGCCCCCACCUCCAGUGUCAGCAGGAGCUGCCAGGUACCCAUGCUGCAAGCAGCUCUGGGGGCCCCCCACUGCCCAUGAGGGCUGUGGGGUGCCCUCACCUGUGGCAUCAGCCAGGAGCUGUGGGGUACCCACGCUGCCUGCAGCUCCAAGGGCCCACAGUGGCUAGAAUCCUGGCAGUUCCCCCACAGCCAGCUGUGGGGUGCCCCUGCCACUUGUGGGGGCCAGGAGCUGCAGGGUACCCCUGCCGUUCACAGCUCUGGGGGCCUGUGAGCUCAAAGGUUCCCUCACGGGGGCUGGGAGCUCUAGGGAUUCUCCACAGCCUGCGGCAGCCAGGAGCUCAGGACUAUCCUAGCACUCACAGCAGCCAGAACCUGUGCAGCUUGGAGCUCCAGGGGCCACUAGAGGCAGCAGGGCUACAGCAGCUCCCUGCCCCCACAGGCGACAGGGGACCCUGCAGCUCCCAACCACAGACUGAAGUCAGAGGCUGCUGGAAGUCACGGAUUCCGUGACUUGUGCGAUCUUGUCACUUAAUCGUAGCCUUACCCGUGAUCAGUUCACAACCCAUGUUGUCUAAUGAAACCUGUUAACUAUUGUGUUUCUUUGCCUAUUCAAUCUCCAUUCUUUGGAAAGACCCAUCUGAGUGUUCUUCCUCCCCCUCCCCAUUUGCUUCUCCCAUUCUAAGAGGUACCACUGUCUCGGUUUAGGUUUUGCCAGGACCUGGUUCUUAUCAUAAGGUGAUGGUGCAGUGGCCCCUGCCCAGGAUUGCUAGAUAGGGGUUGGUCUAGGUCAUUCCACAUGUCCCCAUUGCACCACCCACUCCAUCAAUCCCACGUUCCAAUUUUUAAUUUUGCUAAAGCCACCUUCUCCCAUUUUUGUCCCCACAUACCAGGUGCUACGAAAGUACCUGUAGUCUGUUCUUGCCCUCCUAUAGUUAUGCUGGGAGAUGGCACUUUUUUGCAGAUUUUCUAUUGCGGUUCCCAGAUUCUUAUGCUUGAGCAAAUGAAACAGAAAAAUAUCAUGCAUCUGAAUUGCCUGAUGCCCUGGCGUUCCAGUCUUUGACAGCUUGGGUUACUUCUUCUCAUUUUGGUUACUUGUCCCAUCAAUUUUGUUGCAUGUUGUCUUAGCCAUCUCACAGCCAUGGCAAUAGUUUUCAAUAUUCUACCCUUCUUUUUUUCUUCUUCUUUUAGGCUACCAUAGCCUUAAGUAUUCCAGUUCACCUUUCCCCACUUUCUUUUUUAAACUCCUAGGGCCUGUCUUCACUUGUUACCCAGCAAGUCUAUUCCUCAUCAAACACUGUGGGGAUUUGAAGGGAAAGGUAAGCAGGUUCCCUAACUCAGAGUUUUGUGUCAUGGUCAGCCAGUGCUCAGUUUGUGUGUGCACUGUCCCAGCUCUGCGCAGAGAGCUAGUACAGCAGACCUCCACAUUACCCAGAAAGACCAGACUCUGUUUGGUGGCAAAGGCCCUUGGCCAGGUUUAUUGCCCUUAAGACACAGCAUUAGUACCCUGGCUCUAUGGUUACAUGUAUGCUAACACGAGUGCCCAGAGACAUGGGCUCAGCUCAGUCAGCAGCAGAAUUUUCUAUUGCCCCCGCUAUAAUUUCUCGUUUUAUACAUUGAUACAAUCAAGUUACGUAUUACAAUCCCGUCACGGGUAGUUACCAACGCUAUACCUGGUUCGUGCUGGUUUGAACAAGACAUCUCCAUCCACCAUUUUAGCCUCCUCUCUUUGUCCUACUUGGGGUUGGUGUGUCUCUGAACAAUCUCCUAGGAUUGUGUUUAUUCUAUACUAUGUUGUGGGGUACCUGUACUAGCCUUCUGGAACGUGUUUACAUUAAUACCCUGUACCUAAAACUUCUUUGGAAUGUCUGUGUUUUAGCAAUGCUAGCUCUGCUUUGCCUCGUUCAUUUACCAGACAGUGAAUGUGUAAGCAAGCAUCUGCUUUUUAAGAGAAUAAAUUUCGCUCAUAGCUUUUUUUUGCUGACUUUGGUUUAGGCCUCACACCAGGCCCUGUGCUCCAGGCUCUCUCUCUGAUACAAAGGCUAGCAGCACUGGGGGAGGGAGGCCUUAACUAAAUCCAUCUACCCUCAUUUUUGUUCUCCAUCUUCCUUUCCUUUGGCCCAGAAAGCAAAUGCCCUCAUAGGUAGCAACUAAAUGAGAAGCAGGAAAUGUGGAAGGCACAUUUAACCCUCUGGGAUCAGGCACUUAAGGAGCGACUGAGCAGCUUUAGUGUCUUGAAGAGGG